UGGGGAAUUUUGGACAAUGGGCGAAAGCCUGAUCCAGCAAUGCCGCGUGUGUGAAGAAGGCCUUCGGGUUGUAAAGCACUUUUGUCCGGAAAGAAAUCCUUGGCUCUAAUACAGUCGGGGGAUGACGGUACCGGAAGAAUAAGCACCGGCUAACUACGUGCCAGCAGCCGCGGUAAUACGUAGGGUGCAAGCGUUAAUCGGAAUUACUGGGCGUAAAGCGUGCGCAGGCGGUUUGCUAAGACCGAUGUGAAAUCCCCGGGCUCAACCUGGGAACUGCAUUGGUGACUGGCAGGCUAGAGUAUGGCAGAGGGGGGUAGAAUUCCACGUGUAGCAGUGAAAUGCGUAGAGAUGUGGAGGAAUACCGAUGGCGAAGGCAGCCCCCUGGGCCAAUACUGACGCUCAUGCACGAAAAGCGUGGGGAGCAAACAGGAUUAGAUACCCUGGUAGUCCACGCCCUAAAACGAUGUCAACUAGUUGUUGGGGAUUCAUUUCCUUAGUAACGUAGCUAACGCGUGAAGUUG
RNAcentral lists this ribosomal RNA (521 nucleotides) under uncultured bacterium. Its description in RNAcentral is "partial 16S ribosomal RNA". It matches the Rfam family "Bacterial small subunit ribosomal RNA", at positions 355 to 867 of the family's 1533-position model. The record is from RNAcentral.